AUUGUAUUGUUAAACAGGCAGGUCGGAAGGUGACAAACAAUUGUGUUGUAGAUUUAUACAUAUAACUAUGUUUUUUUUUUUUUCUUAUCUGUCUUAAUUUUACAAUGUGAAUGCAGAAUACUCUCAGGGCUCUGAAAAAAACAACCAACCAACCAACACCAAACAAACAAACAAACAAACAAAACAGAUAACUUCCUUGGCCAAGUAAUAGAGGUGCCACACUGGACCUUUUCUCACCAAAAAGAAGAUAUGUCAGCCACUGCUCCCAGUGCUGUGUCAUCAGCAAAUUUACUGAGCGUGCAUUCCAUGCUUUCAUCCAGAUCACUGAUGAAGAUGUUAAACAAGAUUAGACUCAGUAACGCCCCCAGGGAACACUGCUGGCUACAGGCCGGUAACUAGACUCUGAACCACUGAUCACAGCCUUCUGAGUUCUGCCAAUCAGACAGUUCUCAGGCGACUUCACUGUCCACUCAUCUAUCCCACACUUCCUGAGCUGGUACCAUCUGGAUCAACUGUAGUGCAAAUGCUUCUCCUUCAGUUAACUUGACUAACAUGGGGGAGUGAAUAUGUGACUCAGUCUAACACUGAAUAUAGAAAGUAAACACCCAGCAAAAGAAUUUUUAAGAGUGCGGUAGGCUUAAGUUGGCUUCAACCCACCUAUUCCUUCCCUGAGGCUGCUCAGCAUCACGACAGUGACCAUAUUAUAUAUACCAGUAAUAGGAAUCACAGUAGUAUUGUGAUCAAACUUUAUUGCAGUCACUACAUGUUGUUAAGUGUAACUUACAUCUCUUUUGUGAUUUCAGUAUACUUUGUGUCACUCUGCUAAACCAGAAAUUGUGUGUAACAUUAAAUAUAUU
Molecule: long non-coding RNA, 857 nt
Organism: Gallus gallus (chicken)
Lineage: Eukaryota; Metazoa; Chordata; Aves; Galliformes; Phasianidae
Source: Ensembl